Molecule: long non-coding RNA, 2522 nt
Organism: Musa acuminata AAA Group (dessert banana)
Lineage: Eukaryota; Viridiplantae; Streptophyta; Magnoliopsida; Zingiberales; Musaceae
Exons: 2
Source: RefSeq, a predicted model, not a curated record
GGAAGCCCCGUAAGCCCACCAAGUAGCCCCUCUCUUCUAACAUUGGCACGGAGGUCGUGUACGCUCGCCGGCUGCCGUGGCGAAGCCCUCAUCUGCUCCCUCCUCCCGACCCUGGAAGAGCAUUUGGGAUGAGUUAGGUUUAGGGAUUUGAUUCUUGAUCCGUCUCAGGUUGCACUUUCGGAUUGGUGGUUGACUGAAGCGGAAAGAGGAUUCGAGGGGAGGAGAAUAGCCGUCGACGGGUUUACGACGAGGUAAUUCCUUCGGAGAUGUUUGAUUUGCACUCAAAAGAAUGUUCUUAUCCAUAUUGUAUUGCGUGUUCUCGUCCCUUGGGAGAGUUCACUAAUGAAUUGGUCGUUCCUGUGAUAUGAAAUUGGAAAUUAACCCUUUCCUGUUCUUGGUGUUCGUGAAAGACACACUGCUUUGUUGUAUUCUUAUGAAAAUUUCAUGGUUUCCUUACCAUAUACGCAACAAGAGUCUUCAGAUGUGCACCAACUGUGAAACGAGAUGUUGCUCAUACUCUUACGACUGCAGAUGGGGUUACUGUUAUAGUUCGGGGCAUAAUUAACAUGACACGUUUACAAGAUAAUGGUUUUCCUCUGGAGGUGCAGCUAAAGGGUAUUUUGCCAUAAAAGCAACUCUUCAACAUUGUUUCCUACGUAUUUUGCCUAUCGUAUUAUAGGUCUGCAGUCACUUCUUGAUUGGAUAUCCAUGCAAUUGGAGUUAGUUUGUUCAUGCUAAUUUUUGCCUGAAAUUUAUGAUGAGGUUACUGACUGUGAGUUGAAUAUUCAGGUACAAACUUUUUCGUUUCAUUUAGCACCAUACAUAUCUCAUUCAAACAUUGUCUUGAUAUUUGUGUAGUAUCUCCAUCAUGAAUGAAAACAACUUACUAAAUUGGUUACUUGAAUCAGUGUUUUCAAUUGAAUGAUCAGAACAUGUUUUGAUAUCCUAAUUUGCUAUAUCGUGUGUGUAUUCUUACAUGCUGCAUGGGAGAGUAUGCAGUUUAGUAAAUGGCUCAUGACUAACAUUCUGUUUUCCUUUUUUUUCUCCCUUGAUUCCAGACCCAGUUUUGGAUGUCCCACUAGCAGAUGGAUGUGUCAGUACCAUAUCACUAAAUGGGUCUAGCUGUUCUGCAUAUGUCUAGGACCAUCAGUAAUGAUGCAUGAAAAUUGGAUCUUAAAAUGAUCUUUUGUCUUGCUUUUGAGUAAUCUAAUGUUGAUGACUUCAAAAAAAAAAUUAGAUGGGAUAUAUGAGAUGGGUUUGAACACUACUCAACAUAGUCUACUGUUAACAUUAUAAGAUAUUGACCUGUUCUUGUAUUAAAACAUUUCUUAUUCGAUCAUCAUUUUUGAGAAGUUGGAUGCUGACUCCUCCAUGGAGACAGGAAAUCUAACUUGCAGCAAGUAAUGCUGAGAAGCUUUACCAAAUGCUGCAUGAUGAGACUAGCUUUUACAUUUUCCUGAACUAAGCAGAUUGUCAAAGUCAUCUUAACAGCACAUAAAGAGAACAGAAGCAAGUAUGUCGUACCUUCUACUUAAGAAAGUAGAACCAAUAGUUUAGUCUUUGUUGUUUCAGACUAUCUAAUAUGUUAAUUGAUAAGAAGUACUUUGCUGGAUGACAAGGAGCCUGAACUUGAUCAGCCUGUCACAUGCCAUGCUUCAGUUAUAAAUUUAAUCUUGCUUCGGCUGAAUAGAUAGCACUGUUAUCUUAUCCCCCACUCAGCUGUAACUGAUUCUGGAGACUAACUGCCGAAGAACCACAAUCCAUCUUGUCAGUUUCCAUCAGCUGUCACAAUAAUUCUUGGUUUAGAUUGUUGCCUGAACCAUUCUUCAGUAUUUAGAAACUUUUGUUCCUAUGGGGGCAUAACUAUGAGAAUCCCGGUCACUUGUCUAAUUCGAUAAUUUUGAGCAGCUUCUUGCAUGUUGUAGUACCUUGUUGAAAACUUUCCUGCAUAUGCUGAUAUACUUAGUGAUCAAUUUUAGGCUUUAAUAUGUUGAUGAUCAUAUCUGGCACAUUCCAGCUAUCUUACAUGGGUGGAACUGAACUUUCAUUGAUAACAAUAAACUGCUUUGGUUAUACUGAAUCAGCAGUACCUGGAUCUUUUCUUGUAUUCUUUGCUGAGAUGGAUACUUUACCGGGUUAUAGUAUCUAAAUAUACCCUAAUGACUGCAAGAUGUCAUCUUUUAUGCUGCUAUGGAGCAAAUCAGAGCCCACAAGGAGGAGAAAAAUUCUGUGAAUACUUCAUAUUUGGAUCACAAGUGAGCUUUAUGUCCUGACGACCAUUUCUAGUAUUGAAGGAUCCAUCAGGAGCUGGUUUUUCCUGCAACACUUGACGUUGUAAGAUCACCUGUCCAAUGCCAGGAGCGGAACUCGAUAUCUAAGGGCUGGUUUUUCACCUUAGAUUUGGCUCUUUUAAUGUUUGAAAAUCACGCAAUCUUUCUUCGUAUCCAAUAUAAACACAUGUGUAAACUGUAAACAUAUAACAGCUUUCUUUUCUACACUUCCUAGUGCCUUGUUAUGUUUCA